GAGCUGGGUUUAGAACGUCGUGAGACAGUUCGGUCCCUAUCUGCCGUGGGCGUUGGAAACUUGAGGGGAGCUUCUCCUAGUACGAGAGGACCGGAGUGGACGUACCUCUGGUGUUCCGGUUGUCACGCCAGUGGCAUUGCCGGGUAGCUAUGUACGGAAGGGAUAACCGCUGAAAGCAUCUAAGCGGGAAGCCCACCCCAAGAUUAGGUUUCCCGGAUCUUCGGAUCCCUGAAGGGCCCUUGAAGACUACAAGGUUGAUAGGCUGGGUGUGGAAGCGCGGCAACGCGUGAAGCUAACCAGUACUAAUUGCCCGUGCGGCUUAAACCG
This 327-nucleotide ribosomal RNA is filed under the name Gammaproteobacteria bacterium. RNAcentral describes it as "partial 23S ribosomal RNA". It matches the Rfam family "Bacterial large subunit ribosomal RNA", at positions 2602 to 2925 of the family's 2925-position model. The record is from RNAcentral. Lineage: Bacteria; Pseudomonadati; Pseudomonadota; Gammaproteobacteria.